Molecule: RNA transcript, 9797 nt
Organism: Lagopus leucura (white-tailed ptarmigan)
Lineage: Eukaryota; Metazoa; Chordata; Aves; Galliformes; Phasianidae
Gene: TADA1
Gene name: transcriptional adaptor 1
Exons: 12
Source: RefSeq, a predicted model, not a curated record
ACGCUUCGCGGCCUCCGCGUCCCCGUGCUCCGCGGCGAUGGCGACGUACGUGAGCGAGCUGGAGGCGGCCAAGAAAAGCCUGAGCGAGGCGCUGGGCGAGAAUGUGAAGCAGUACUGGGCCAACCUGAAGCUCUGGUUCAAGCAGAAGAUCAGCAAGGAGGAGUUUGACCUGGAGGCGCGGCGGCUGCUCACCCAGGACAACGGUAACGUCCACUCACACAACGACUUUCUCCUGGCCAUCCUUACCCGAUGCCAGAUCUUGGUUUCUGCACCAGAAGGUGCUGGAUCUCUGCCGUGGCCAGGUGGCUCCGCAACCAAACCUGGAAAACCCAAAGGGAAGAAAAAGAUUUCGUCAGUGCGGCAGAAGUUUGAUCACCGGUUCCAGCCUCAGAAUCCAUUGUCUGGAGCCCAGCAGUUUGUGGCUAAAGAUCCUCAGGAGGAUGAUGACCUGAAGCUGUGUUCCCAUACCAUGAUGCUUCCCACGCGUGGCCAGCUAGAAGGAAGGAUGAUUGUAACUGCGUAUGAGCACGGGCUGGACAACGUCACAGAGGAUGCGGUGACAGCUGUGGUUUAUGCUGUGGAGAACCACCUUAAGGACAUUCUGACAUCUGUGAUAUCCAGACGAAAAGCCUAUCGGCUGAGAGAUGGCCACUUCAAGUAUGCCUUUGGAAGCAAUGUCAAUCCUCAGCCAUAUCUGAAGAACAGUGUUGUUGCUUAUAACAAUUUAAUUGAGUGCCCUCCAGCCUGUGUGACACCUUCUGCUGGUCAGAGCGUAGCCCCUCAGCCCCCACCUGAUGAUGCGGAGCAGCAGGCAGCGCUACUGCUGGCGUGCUCUGGAGAUACUUUGCCAGCAUCCCUCCCUCCAGUGAACAUGUAUGACCUUUUUGAGGCGUUACAGGUACACAAGGAAGUUAUUCCUGCACACACUGUCUACGCCCUAAACAUUGAGAGAAUUGUCAUGAAACUGUGGCAUCCAAACCACGAGGAGCUACAGCAGGAUAAGAUCCACCGCCAGCGCCUGGCAGCAAAGGAGGGCCUUCUACUCUGCUAGAGCCUGGCAGCCACGUCGGGCCCCUGAUGGCUGCUGUGCUGUUCCUUGGACUUGAUGCUGGGAUGCUUCUUAAAAUCCCAUGUUUGUGCUUCAAGGAAGAUCUGUGUGCAUCCAUCCUGUGGCUGGCCCUGUUCCCCAUGGAGCAGCCUGGUCCCUGUGCGAGGUGCCUUGCUGAGGUAUGGUUCCCUUUCCUGUCCCGCAUUUGAAGGGCAAGGCCACUGCCUGUCCCCACACCCCCACUUACAGCUGAGCUCAGCAUCCUGGAGCUGUUCACACAGCAGCUGCAUUAUCCCUUUGCUUUGGGUUUCUCAGUUUCACUCCUGCCUGAUGCAAAGGCAGCACUGCUGACGCUCAAGCAGAGCAUCCUGUUUCCAAAACAGCUGGUGUAGUCCUGCUAUCUUCAGCAUCCUUGUUCCCAAAGGAAGACAGCAAAGCAUCAGAGAGGCAGAAGGCAUAGAAUGAGUGGAUGAUAAUAUUGCAGUCCCCUUCACCUGUGUGUGGAAGUAGGGUUGUGCAUUGUGGGGUGCUGCAGGUUCCUAAUACUUUGUUCCUGAAGCUGUCAAGAAAAAAACAGCAUAGAGAGGUACGUGUAUGGGCUGUCCUCACUCCACUUGGGCAAUAAUAGGGACAGUUUGCAUUAUUUUAGACUUCAGGACACCCAUGGUUAGAAAAAAACAGAAGAGGAAAAGACAAACACCUUUGUAUAGGCAUGAGUACAGACACACACAGAGAGCCCUGUCAUGCUGAAGGUACUGUGUUCUGUUGCUCAGCCCAGCUGAUCCCUACUGUGGUUCUGUGGACUGACUAACCCCAGUGGGGCAGUCCCAGCCUCCAGGGGCUUGGUGGAUGGAUUCAUACUUUUGAAGAGAACAAGAUGGUGUGCCACAUACAGAAUGCUAUCUUCCCUCCUGUGCUGCUGUCUGUCAUUGAACAGGAGCUCUCUGGCUCUUCCAGGUCUGAGCAGCCCAUACCUGAUGGGCGAGCACCAAAAAGCUCUGGAGAUAGAGUGGCCCUUUUCUGACAGUAGAGGCUGGUAGGUGGCAUCUAGCAGGGAUCACACAGGGGUGUGCCUCACCAAACAGCAGUAACACAAAUGCAUAAGCUGAGGCAGGAGCAUCCUUCCCUGUGCCUGAGGGGACACAGGCACCCACCUGAUCCUGGAUCCCUUGCUGGCAGUGGGGAAGCGGUACUGAGGCUGUUGGGUGCUGUGCUGCUGCUGGUGCAACUUGCUGCUGCAGGGAUGGGGAUGGAACAGGGCACAGAGCCCCGCAGGUGGCCUGGAGGGCAGCACAGGCACAGCCAUGCUGCUGGGCUGUGCGGGAGCUCCAGGCAACCCAGGCACCAGAACCUCACGUGAGACAUCAAAGCGCCUGAGGUAGCACAAGAUGCAAAUGAGCAAUACCUCAGAGCUGGUGCUUAACCACAGCCGUGUGUCUGCAUGUGCUGUGGAAUAACACGACGUUUCCCUUUUCUGAAGCUCCCUGUGUGAGGGCCCAUGCCUUCUCCCACAGCGCCCUGUGGGGCUGGAUUCAGGCUUGGCCUCAGCUGAGCUCUGCAGGGCUGUGGGCACUGCAGGCACUUCCAGAUCAGCCCUGAGGUACAAGGGCAGCACCAGAGAGCCAGGGGUAGUGCAUGGCUCUAGGGGUGCCUCUGCUGGCAUUGCAAUAAGGGUGUGCUCCUGGUACCCCAACCCUUCUGUCCAUCACAGUCUCAGAAAUGGUCUCAACCAAAAGCACGGACUUCAUAGAUCCUGCAGCCACGGGAGACCUCUUGGUGCACAGCCUGCUCUCCCUUUGUUCUUGUUGUUGUUUGUUAUUCUGUUAUUAAGCCUGGGCAAAGCUCCAAGAUUAUUACUCAUGGAAUCUUUCUGGGCCUUUGCUGGCUCAUUCCUUAAUGGUUUCCAACAAUGACAACCGUAGAGGAAAAAAAAAAACCAGUGGAUGCCCCUCAGAGCCUGCACUGCAGCAGGGGCUGGAAUGAGCCCUUGCCCAGUGUUUUCUCAAAACAACCAUCCAGUCCCUCUGGAAGUGUGGCCUCAGCCUCACGCUGCCCUCUGCCUUGGGCUGAAGUUGUGGACCAGGCUGACCUCUCGCCCGGGGAACUGAGGGGACUGUAGGAGCAUCUCCUGCCACGUCUGUGGUAUGGAGCUGCUGCUGCUUUCAAAACUGAAACAAGGGAGGGAAGAAAGCUAAGGAUCCCUUUCAGAUAGCGGAGCAUGGAGCCAUGUCUCAGGCAUGUCAGGACAUGAUAGCAGUGCCACUUGCCCUGCGCGGCUGAAGCAGGUGCAUGCUGUACUCUGGCUCAUUUACAGUCUGGAGAAAUGGAGCUGUGAGUUGGGGUUGCUGUGUGAGGCUCUGCUUCCCUAUGUGCUGCCCCAUGUGCUGCCCCAGUCCCUGCAGAAAUCCCCCCAAGCCUCCCCCUGGCUCCAUGGUGGCCGUGUGGGGCUGGGAGGCAGCAGCUAACGGUGAUGCAUGGUGCACUCCAUGGGGGGAAUUCCUCAGCAGUUUAGCCACAUCUUCACCCUGUCCCUAUCUGUGGUUUUUCUGCUCAUUUCAGAUGUGAGUUUUCUAUUUUUGAAGUACCUCAUCUCACGUCCAAUUCUCUCCUGGGAUCACUAGCCUGAAGCUCACUGCUUCAUGUCUCUGCUGUGCCCUACUCCUACCUGGCUCAGAGUUUACCCAGUAAGCAGGUCUGGGGUUUUGCUGGGCACAAGAGUGCUACUUUUUCAUUUGCUGGUUCCAGUGAGGAGUUGGUGGUGUCUCAGUAAAUGAGAUCUCUAUCUUUGCAUACAUCUUCCUGUAGAUUUUAUGAGUGCUCUUUGUUUCAGACUCAUCUUGGUGAGUCAGAGCACCGGGGGCAGAGACCCAAGGCAGCAGCCCCCGGCCAGGGACACCGGCCUCCAGCCAUGUGCAGGGUGGGAAGCACUCCCCAAAGGCUGAUGAAGAGAUGACGUGGCUGCAGGCCAGAUGACUGGAGAAGAUCAUCUUUCCUGCUGUCACAACCAUUGGCGUCACAGGCGUGAAGCUGGUAGCAGUGGCAGGGUUAGGGUUGGGGACAUCAAGGGCAGGGGGCAUACCCCAGUGCUGGCACAGACCUGAGAAGACAGGUUAAUGGUGAGAACAGGCUCGAAUCCACAACACCAUCUCACACCCCUGUGCUGUGCAUUACAGAUACUGUGCUUGCAGAUCUCUUUUUUUUUUUUUAAAUUAUACAGGAGGUUAAUAGCCCUUUUCCCAAAGACAGCUGCACAGAUGAGAUGUGCUUCGCAGUGGGGUAGUAGAAUCUUGGUGAAGCACUAAAGAAAAGAAAAUCACAUGCAAGCCUAACAGGAAGCAGUACUGCAACACAGCAGUGUGUCUGGAGUCCCUCACCGCUGGCAAGGACCUUUCAAAACAUCCAAAUUGUUACAGUUUGUAUGGGAACACAGUGCUGCUUUCAGGAGCAUGGGGAUUGUGAGGGAAGGAGCUGUUACCUCAGCUGCACCUUGAACACCUUGGCUGCUCUCCAUGAGGAGGAUGUGGCUGACCUUAUCAAGUUGAUGCAUGACAGAGCCAUCACCAUCCUACUGCUGCUGCUCCCCAUGAUCAUGUCCUGUAGUUUAUCCUCUCUUGGACCUUGCAUGCAGUAAAUGAGAGCACUAAUCUCAGAGAAAGUCAAGAUCCAGUAACUCAAAGGAAUUCAUAAUGCAAGAACCCACAGGAAACCCAAGACAAACAAACAAAUUUCUCUUGGAUUCAAUACCAACCAGGGCAUGUGACAGUGCUGAGUAACCACAACUAUAAGCACCAGCGAGCAACGCUGCUCUCCUGGGAGCUUACACGAUUCCUUGCUGCAGCCACCUGCUGCAGAGGAGCUGGCUUCCCAGACAGCAAGUGCCUCCAGCAGCUUCCCCAUGCCUGCGAGACUGAAAGCCAACCUCAUCACUUGGCUGCCUCCCCCGUGGCCAGAUCACAUCUCUGCAUCAGAAUCUAGCUGAGGAUGGGAUCCUAAUCUUUAGCAGCCUAGGACUGGAUAUGAGACUGUGAAAAGAUGCAGGCAGCCUGCCUGCCUUCCUUGACCAGGGCUUCCCAAAGGUGGGUGAUGCGAUUAGGAAUGACAAGGUUUGUUUCAACUGCUCAUUCGCUGGAUAAAAUGGUAGCUAGAGGAGUGCCAGAAAGUGCCACGGCUCUCUGGACAUGCUAGGGGAGUUUUAGCACCCAAGUUCAGCUCUUAGCCAGGGACUGUUGUGUGACUCAGGCUGCUGUUUGGCCAUGCAGCUGCCUGCAGACACACACUGCACCUGAACGUUUCCAGCCAACACCGGCAAUUCUGUUUCUUCCAACCUAUAUUCUGCACAAGUCAUAGUGGUAUUGAUGAUAUCACUGGCUGGAGAGACAUGACUGCGCCCUCUCCUAGCACUACGCAGAUGACUCCACUGCAUUAUCAGCUGAACUUCUCUGGGAUUUUUAAAAAUUUUUUUGUUCAACCACCACUUACCUUCCCUCACCCCCCACAAAAACUUUGGCUUCUCAGCAUAAGUGCAGUAAAACAAACAAACAAACAAACAACAAAUCAAAUACUGGGAAGCAAAGCAGAUCAAGAAGCAGCAGUUCCAACUCUCCUGCUGACCUGAUGGGGACAAUGGGUUUAAAAUGGACCCACUCACUCCAGUGUUACCAUAGGAAAGCAAUGCCUGCCAAGAAGGGCUGAUGCAUCACAACAGCCAGGUGUGGGUGUCCCAUAAAAACACAGGGGCUUUAUUUUCCGGUAGCAACCAACAUCUCUAUUCAGACCUACGCUGAUUUUUUAGACAGCAAUGUUGUCACUGAUAAGGCAUAACCAUAAAUGCUACUCACCCAUUAUAACUAUUAUUGUAGUGCCAAUCCUGCUGGGAGAAACAUAAGCAGGGGAAUUAGCAAAAAAAGGCUGGGAGUGUCUUGUGCCCAUGUCUUGGUAAAGUGCUGUGUGAGCUGUCUGAGGUGUGAUGGCAUCUGGGACACAACAAGACCUAUCAUGGGUACUUCCACACUCCAUGCCACCUAGGGGAACACCAGCUGGAGGUAACCCUUGCACCAUGCUGACUCUGCACCAGCCUGCUGGGCACACAGGUUCAUAAUGGUUCAUAAAUAUGUCACACAGGGAACUCCUAAGGAUGUGUGAAAGAGCAGACCAAAGUGUGAUCAGACUUCCCAUCACUCCCAUCUUCAAAUUGGGGCCAGAAGAAAUGCCAAAUCAACCAGAGCCAUCAGAGCUGAGAAAGCCCCACUUGCACUACAGCUGCCUCCUUGCUUGCCUGCCGCCUGCCUUUGGUUGACCUAGUUGAGUCAUGGGGAGACAGUGAGUGAGAGACAUCCUGCGCUGUGGUUGUCACUGGCGCUGCCCUAAGGAGAACAUGUGCCUGUCCCAGAGGGAUGCUCCUGCCCUGAACAGAUGGGCAAGCCAGGGCAAAGGGCUAGGGCAGGGCUGGCUCCAAGCCAUGCCCAUGACAUGGCAGCCAGGCCCCCCUCCUGAAGCUGCAGUCUGGUUUCUCUUCCUCUGGCCAGUGCAAGGAGCACUGAUGAUGGUUCCAUUGGGCAAAGUUUGGAGGAGAUGGCACAGCUGCAGGCACAGGCUGGGGAGGUGGAGAAGCAGCCCGGUCAUGGGCAAACCCUGCAGGGACUUUGCUGAGUGCUAUACCCAGGUCAGACAAGUUGAAGCAAGUUAAGGCAUGCGCAAAUGCUUUUCCUCCUCAAAUCUCAAAGGAAAUGCGUCCACGUGCCUCAGCACCACAGGCUGCUAAGAAUAAAGGACCUCUAUGGGAUUCUGACUCUGUGUGCUUAUUGGCUUGGCACAAUGGGCAUGAACCAACUCCUAGCUCCUGCCCACAGGUCAGCCUGCCCACAGGUCAGGGGUUCUGCAUCACCUUGGUGUAUUUGGCUUUUUUUGCACUGACCCAACCGCAUCCCAGCUCUUGUGGCUGUGACAGCUGUUAAUAAAAGAGCAGUUAAUACAAUACACGCAGCUCCUUCCCUGCUCCGGGCAGCAGGGGCAAAGGGAAGGGAAGGAAAUGCUGUGAAACAAGACAACGUGGGCUCUUCUCCUCUUCCAGCCUUAGUAGGAGAGUUUGUGUUGGCAGGGGAAAGAACUCAGGGGAGUGAACUCUUCCCUUUUGCAGAGUGAGUAAUAUGUUGCAAAAGCUACUAAAAUUAGAGCGCUAAAAGAAUGUCUAAAAAUAUCACAUGGACUUAAAAAAAGCACAGAAUCCCUGAGCACUACACAAGAAGGGGAUAAUUUACCAAGAAAAAGUUGUCAUGGAAUGCCAGAGUCAUAACUCACCGUUCCUGUGGUCUCAUGGUAAAAAUACUCAACGUUCUUUCCUCUCAGUAUCGGCGCAGGAGCCUAUCCUGAAGGCUGCAGCUAUUGAAAAAAAAUGGAUGUAUUGUUCAGUGUGUGUGUUCCAGAAGCAGCAGACAGAGAAGAACAGAGUACUGCUGGGAUCAGACUCUGACAUAUCCCCAGGGCCCCUGUGUCCGCCCUGAGGAGCGCAGCACUCUCUCGUCUGUCCAGAAAACACGAGGCUUGAUUACCCAAAGGCACACAGACUUGCUAUGGGAUGCCAAGAAGAGCCUUUGGGGAUCGUGUAGGGCUUAUCGUGGGAUGUCUGUGGGAAGAACAAGGAGAAAGGGAGGGACCAGUGCAGUCUGGGGAGGAACAAGCAUGGAAAAAACAGGGAAAAAGGACAAAAAGGGCACUGGGGUGCUGCUCUGGCUGUGCCAUGUCUUCUGACUGAGCUCUCUUUAUAGCUGUCUCCCAGGUGAGGAGCUCUGUUCAAAGCAUAGAGCAUGUAAGGAAGCGGAAGCAGCAGUACAUGGAGGGAGCAUCGAACCCUAGCAGCUGCAGGAACUGGGAUGCAUGAUGGUGUGUGCAAGUGCUAGCACACAGCAAGCCAGGCUGGCUGGUGACUGUGGCCCUCCUGUGCUCCUCGUCCCUGCCCUGCUGGCAGAGAUGGAAGAACAGUCAGAUACGGAAUUGAGAAAGCACAACGAUCAGAAGGACUGUGAAAAGGAGCCUGCUGGCAUCAUGAGUGAUGAUGAGUGGAAGGGCUGGCAAAAAGGACAGGCUAAGAGGAACACGCUGUACCUCAUGUCUGCAGCCACUCAGUGGAUAUUACUGCUUGCCUGCUUGAUUUACCUUGGUACAGAUUCUCUGCAACUCUGGACGCCUCACAGUGACAAAGUCAAGUGGACCUUCAUCCGGUACACAGGCCAAAGCAUUGCAGGAGUGGCCAUGAAUCUCAGUGCUGAAUUUACCUCCAUUCCUGUCAUAAAUGGCUCCAUCGUGAUCCCCUGUGAUGGCCUCUACGUGGUGUCCCUGAAGGGUGUUCUUUCUCCUGACCUGGAGAAGGGCUCACUGAAGCUGAUGAUGCAGAAUACAGAAAACAAGAAUGCCCCACCCCUCUGGGAGCGAGAUGUCCAGAACAGCAGCAACGCGGUAGAUCUCAUCACGAUACUCUACUUGUUUGCUGAAAAUAACAUCAUCCUGUCAACCAGCUCGAACGCCACAAUCCAGCAUUUGACAUUUAGCCUUGUUCUACUAAAUCCCAUUUUUUGCAACUCAUAGGUGAUGGCAUGAAACAUAACACAUAAAGUACAGCUUUUCCUACUGAUCCAUUUGAACGUAGGAGGCUUGUUCCCCAGGCUGUACUUGUACAGGCAGACUCCCUCCUUGGGGCUGUGGAAAGCCUCAGCUGGGGUGCAGAUAAAUCACAAUGCAAACAGGCUUCAUAUAGCGCACGCAUCUCUUUGGAGCUCUACGCAGCUAGGAUGGAUCCUUCUAACACUCAACAAAGGGGUGUGUGAAGCCAUUGAGGACAACAGAGAUGAACGCCAAAGAAAUGUAUCCGAGCUUCAUUCGUAUUCAGAGAAACCCUGGGUGUCUCUAGUCACUUGGCAGUACCUGUAUAUAAUACAAACGCGCUGUAUAUUUGCUAAAAUAAAGUGCUAAACCAGGAAGAUAUGCCAGGAAGAUACUGCCUUUGCAGAGAACUGGGUAAAUGCUCUCUGGCAGGUAAAGGCCAUAAAGGGAAGGUGGGCUUCCAAAAGAAGCUAACAGGACUCAACUGGACUGCAGGAAGGUCCUGCAGCUACCUUGGGAUCUGUAGGAGCAGCUAUGAGAGAGAAGGCUCGCAGGCCAUCCCAGCUGUCUGCAGAGUAUUGAUCCUGAGCCAUGUGUCAGGUAGGAUGUUUACAUCUUGAUGCCAGGUCUCAGAGGUGUUAGUCUGAAGGAGAAUCUCCCUCAAAAACACACACAGAGAAUGGCUCAACCCAAAAGUGAUCCAGGUACAUGAAGUUUGGGAAGAAGCAUGAAGGCCCUUGGUAACUUCUCUCUGACGGACCAAGUGGAACCUGAAGGUCUGCGCAUCUCCUCAGGGAGGACCGGAUAGGUCCGAAGAGUCUUGCUAUGAAGGUAUGCACCACAAAGAGGUUCACAACCCAACUUCCAUGACAUAUCUGUGCACCCAUACGUACCCUGCCUGGCUUCUGCCAGAAUCCAGACAGGCUGUUCCUGGCCACUGGACCAGGGGCCCAUGUUGCAGACAGCAGCUACUGAGGACAACACUGUCUGUGCCCUGAGCACAGCAGGCAGCUGUGGCAUUUCUGAUUGAACUAGGGCAGAUUUUAAGGACAAGUUGACCAUCUGGCUUCCAGUGAACCCCAGCAACAUUUUGGCAUCUCCUCGCUGACUGUACGCUCCAAAGUCUAUUAUUAAAGGUAUUUAUAUAUUUAUA